This is a non-coding RNA of Dipodomys ordii (Ord's kangaroo rat), 65 nucleotides long. The record is from Rfam. Lineage: Eukaryota; Metazoa; Chordata; Mammalia; Rodentia; Heteromyidae.
GGUGGCUCAAUGGUAGAGCACUUGCCUUGCAUGCAUGAGGCCCUGGGUUCGAUUCCUCAGCACCA